This 481-nucleotide ribosomal RNA is filed under the name uncultured bacterium. Its description in RNAcentral is "partial 16S ribosomal RNA". It matches the Rfam family "Bacterial small subunit ribosomal RNA", at positions 28 to 507 of the family's 1533-position model. The record is from RNAcentral.
GAUGAACGCUGGCGGCGUGCUUAACACAUGCAAGUCGAACGAAAAACCUUAUUUGAUUUUCUUCGGAACUGAAGAUUUGGUGAGUGAGUGGCGGACGGGUGAGUAACGCGUGGGUAACCUGCCCUGUACAGGGGGAUAACAGUCAGAAAUGACUGCUAAUACCGCAUAAGACCACAGCACCGCAUGGGGCAGGGGAAAAAACUCCGGUGGUACAGGAUGGACCCGCGUCUGAUUAGCUGGUUGGUGAGGUAACGGCUCACCAAGGCGACGAUCAGUAGCCGGCUUGAGAGAGUGAACGGCCACAUUGGGACUGAGACCCAGCCCAAACUCCUACGGGAGGCAGCAGUAGGGAAUAUUGCACAAUGGGGCAAACCCUGAUGCAGCGACGCCGCGUGAGUGAAGAAGUAUUUCGGUAUGUAAAGCUCUAUCAGCAGGGAAGAAAAUGACGGUACCUGACUAAGAAGCCCCGGCUAACUACGUG